GUUUUGAUUCACGGAUGUUUAUUUUAUAGUUAUUGCUUUAUUGGUAAGUUAAUCAGGAAAGAAAUGUAGAAGUGAGUGAAGAAAAAGAGGGCUGAAUCUGGACCAAUGAUGAUGACUGGUGGCGUACGAGUCAUGAACGAUGAAUGCUACGUGUCUGGAAGUCUGAGGUCCAAGAUAAAACAAAAUCUAGUGUUUCUUCUCUCACAAGUGACCCCGUGGAUCCAUGCUAGGAAUAUUCAAGGAUAUUGUUCUUGUAAUCUUGGAUUCAUAGAUUUCUAUAUUAUUAAUAUAAAUGGAUCAAUGGUAGAACCAAUAAAUAUAUAAAUUAAAAAAACAAAGAUGAAGCCUUGUCUGCCUAUGAAUAUGUGUGGUGAGGCAAGAUAUAUUAUUAAUAUAAGCUGAUGCAUGUUAAGAAAUAAAUGUACCAACGGUGUUACCUCUUUUUCUAAGGAUCAUAUCAUACUUAUAUUUAUGCUUAUAUAUGUAUCUAAAUUAUGAAAAAUAAUAAAUACCUUUAUGACUGAGUAAACAAAAUGAGCAAAACAAGGACCAAUUUAGAAGACGGUCUCAAGUUUCUAUAUCAUCUGCUCUGCUCUGUACUCCUCAGAUGGAUGCUCUCGAGUGGGUUUAAGCAUCUUCUAUGAUCACAUGCUCGACAGUUGCCUCUGUGUAAUGAGUAUAGAGACCAGUAAUGGACACCUGAACUUAUUUAAGCAUUUGGCCAUGAUCAGGAGCUCCAUGUAUGCCCCCGUGCACGAGCGUGGAGACCAGUAAUGGAGGCGAGAGCUUCUGUCACGAUCAAGAUCUUCAUGUUGCCUCUGUUGGAAAGAGACCAAGGGACAUACUGGAGCUGAUGGAAGAAUUCUUUCACGGCUGCACCCUCUUUGUUGGCUCUGUGUGUUAGGUGCAUGGAGCACAACGUGAGUAAUAAAGAUCGUGUCUUCAUUUGACAGGUUUUUUAAUAAGGGCACUUGCUGUAUUAUUAAAAGUGUGAAUAUUAUUCAAAAGGCCAACCAUGGCCAAUGAUACUUAUGGGAUUAUUACCAAGUGUUAUAUUUAUUAAUCCAUCUAAGAUAGAUUAAGGAUAAUUAAUGAAAGAGAUAUAUCAAUGUGAUAAAUGAUUCUCUAGGCAGAUGUAGAAUAUUCAAGGUUCUUAUUCUUCAUUUUUUUGUGUGAAUUAUAGGGUUUUAAAAUUAAUAUUAGUAAAUUAAGGAAUUAAUCAGUGAAAUAAUAUAUAAGAGAAUGGAGAAAAAGAGGCGAAAAUAUGGACCAAUGCUGACGACUGGUGGCAUAGGAGUCACGGAUGAUGAAUACUAUAUGUUUUGAACUCUGAGGUCCAACACAAAAGGAAGUGUAGUUUAUUGCCUCUGUUUGAAGUGAUCCUAUAGACUGAUUUUGGGAAUGUAAAAGGAUCGUUUUCUUAGCUGGUCUUCAUGGAUUUUGAUUCUCUUGUCAUAAAUGAUCGAUUUAAGAAUCAGUGUACAAAUAUAAAAAAGUACAGGUGAAGAGCAUGCAGCAUAUGCACUCUUCAUAUAUGUGGUGAGGCAAUGAGACAAUUAAAAUGUGCUGAAAAUACUGAACAGUGGAGAUGAUGCCUCAAUCCUCUUAUCCUCUGCUUUGCCUUUUACGUCUUAG
Long non-coding RNA from Equus caballus (horse), 1635 nucleotides. The record is from Ensembl. Lineage: Eukaryota; Metazoa; Chordata; Mammalia; Perissodactyla; Equidae.